This 71-nucleotide transfer RNA is filed under the name Hephaestus fuliginosus (sooty grunter). RNAcentral describes it as "tRNA-Trp". It matches the Rfam family "tRNA". Rfam says of the family: Transfer RNA (tRNA) molecules are approximately 80 nucleotides in length. Lineage: Eukaryota; Metazoa; Chordata; Actinopteri; Centrarchiformes; Terapontidae. The record is from RNAcentral.
AGAGACUUAGGAUAGAAAAAGACCAAGGGCCUUCAAAGCCCUAAGCGGGAGUGAAAAUCUCCCAGUCCCUG